This is a long non-coding RNA of Macrosteles quadrilineatus (aster leafhopper), 535 nucleotides long. RefSeq lists it as uncharacterized. NCBI's taxonomy places the organism in Eukaryota, Metazoa, Arthropoda, Insecta, Hemiptera, Cicadellidae. The transcript is spliced from 2 exons. The record is from RefSeq and is a predicted model, not a curated record.
CUUAUUAUUGACAGAGAGGGUCGAAGAUCGGGUACAUUGAGCCAUAAUUUGAGUGAAUCUGGUUGUGUUGGUAACACUGAAGUUCACAGUUCACAGCUGAUCAGAUGCGGCCAUGUUGAUCCACUUUCAAAACUUAGGUUAGAAAAUGUUUUCCUCUUGAUAAUUUUUAGUUUCCUCGGCUCGUGCGCUGGCUUCCUACUACAACAUCUUCGAGACAAGGAUGCCGUGAUGGCGACGCUGAGAGAAUGGACCUUGUUCCUGGUGGUGUACGGUGCGUUGUUCCUAGUCUCCUGUGGGAUCGUAUGUAUCAAGAUCUGGCUAUAUCUGAUCUGCUGUCAGUGUCUUCGUCGUCGAAGGGUGGAGGAUCGUCAGGAGAUUCGUUUUCCGCCUCCCAAACUACAGGAACGCGUUUCCUCCAAGAACAAUGUAUACUUACGAACCGUGGACGGACACCAACACAGUCAUUGAAUUACAACAUAUCACAUCUGUACAAUAUUUUUUAUAAAAAUGACCUUAUAAACUAUUUGUACUGUUA